ACUACGGGAGGCUGCAGUCGAGAAUCAUUCACAAUGGGGGAAACCCUGAUGGGGCGACGCCGCGUGGGGGAAUGAAGGUCUGCGGAUUGUAAACCCCUGUCAUGUGGGAGCAAAUUAAAAAGAUAGUACCACAAGAGGAAGAGACGGCGAACUCUGUGCCAGCAGCCGCGGUAAUACAGAGGUCGCAAGCGUUGUUCGGAACCACUGGGCGUAAAGCGUGCGUAGGCUGUUUCGUAAGUCGUGUGUGAAAGGCGCGGGCUCAACCCGCGGACGGCACAUGUUACUGCGAGACUAGGGUAAUGGAGUGGGAACCGGAAUUCUCGGUGUAGCCGU
RNAcentral lists this ribosomal RNA (333 nucleotides) under uncultured bacterium. Its description in RNAcentral is "partial 16S ribosomal RNA". It matches the Rfam family "Bacterial small subunit ribosomal RNA", at positions 338 to 682 of the family's 1533-position model. The record is from RNAcentral.